Molecule: long non-coding RNA, 918 nt
Organism: Solanum lycopersicum (tomato)
Lineage: Eukaryota; Viridiplantae; Streptophyta; Magnoliopsida; Solanales; Solanaceae
Source: RefSeq, a predicted model, not a curated record
GGUCAAAAGGGUCACCAAAAACAAAAACUAACACUUAAGUGACACCUUUCAUUUAAUUUUCUCAAGAUACAUACACAUCAAUUCCAAAACCGACCCCCUUAUGUUUUCUUCUUCUUCUGUCAGUGAGGAACACAACUAAAUUCCAGAAAAUCCUGGUAAACUCGAACCUGCAGUAGCCGCGUCCUAUCCCCCUUUUCCCCCUUUAGAAAGAUGCCUCUCUUCCAUAGUUGCCUCAAAAAAGGGCACAUGAAUUGAAAUUUCAAAUUUGAAAAAUUCAUCUAUUUAUCCCUCUUUCAAUUCUAAUCUCAGCCUAUAAAUAUUAGAGGUUUUUGAGUUUGGUUCUAAGAUCACCGCAAGAAUUUUCUUAGCUCUGCAUUCGUAUACGAAAUUCGUGGUGGAAAUUUCUUUUUGGUCAAGCUUUUUGUCCCGGAACGCUGCUUCGGAAAAGUUCACUUUGGACUCUACUCAUGCAUAUCUUUGAGUCGUUUUGACAUCCAAGUUCACUUUGGACUCUACUCAUGCAUAUCUUUGAGUCGUUUUGAAUCAUCCUCAUAUUUACAGUGAAAGAGAAGUUGAAACAGGCAAUGAAAAGUCCCAAAAUGGGAUGUAUACAUGUCAUAUACAACAGUAUACACCGAUAUAAGUGGUGAAUAUUGAAAUACAGGUCCGAAAAUCGAAAUGCAGGUGCUGGAAGUUGAAGUGGGUUGCAUACAUUUGUAUACAUACCAAGAUACAGGAAAUGGGACUGAUAUAUGAAUUGUAUACACUGAUUCAACUUGUGUACAAAAACAGGAAUUGGUAUAAAGUCCAAAAGGAACAUCUUUUGCCCAAUGUUUCUGGGCAGCAAUAAGCUCAAAAAGCCCAAAUUAUUAUUCGAUCUCUUUAUUAUUUAAUGGGAAAUUUUUUAAAAUGUCAAUA